AAUAUUAAAGAAUAAAAGAAAGAUUAGAAAGAAAAUAUAGGGAAAACUUCUUCUUUCUUCUACACGUCUUUGCAGAAAGAGACACGGGUAAUGUUGUUGCUGAGUUUGAAGGGUGUGUGUUUGGUUCCAAGGGUUGUAGAGGAUAAGUCUGAGAUUGGAUGAACCUCUCUAGCUUAUUUUUUGUUUUUUUCCCGACUUGGUUUCUCAGAUCUAUUACCACCCUUUCUGCAUUUCCCCUAUCUCUUACAAAUCACAAUCCUUUCUCUUCAUUGCCUGGUAAGACAUGAGUAGAGGAGAUUUUGAAGAAGAUACAGAAAUGUGUUGGUGACAGUGGAUCUCUGGCCAGAAGCCAAGGCAGUUGGAUCCUCCACCUCCGUCGCAUAUAAUCCAGCGUCCACCACCAAAGCAACCUCCAGCUUCGUCGAACAUGGCGCCUUCACCUCUAACGUUGGAACCGAAAACACGGUUAGUCAAACGUCAAGCCAAACACACAUGGAACCGAACAUCGUGCUUGGGAACCGAAUACACAAUGGUUGUGAAUAAUGGGAACCGAAUAACAGCAACUGGGAACCGAAUACAGGUGCCAUGUAAAUUCUUCCCACCUCUGGAACCGAAUACGAGUGGAAGGGAACCGAAUACACCUCCAAAAUAUUUCAUUUCAGCCACUGUUCUUCAUCUUGUUCAGCUUCAGACUUCAUCUUCAACCAUCAUCUUCAUAUGGAAUUGGUUAUUUCAUAGUUAGAAUCGAUGUACGUAAGCUUCAGGACUUGGGUUGGAAUUAUAUAAUAGGCAAAGGGUAAAGAAAUUUGAAAGGAGAGCCCAAUCACGUUCUAAGCUAUGGUGUUGGCACCAUAUCAAAAGGGUACUGGAGAGACUAAAAUGCCAUUUAAUUAGUAAAGAGAUUACCAAGAUAACUACAUAACAAAUAUUAAGAGAUACAACA
Vigna angularis (adzuki bean) is the source of this 943-nucleotide long non-coding RNA. RefSeq lists it as uncharacterized. The record is from RefSeq and is a predicted model, not a curated record. NCBI's taxonomy places the organism in Eukaryota, Viridiplantae, Streptophyta, Magnoliopsida, Fabales, Fabaceae. The transcript has 2 exons.